This 89-nucleotide transfer RNA is filed under the name Lachnospiraceae bacterium. Its description in RNAcentral is "tRNA-Ser". It matches the Rfam family "tRNA". Rfam says of the family: Transfer RNA (tRNA) molecules are approximately 80 nucleotides in length. The record is from RNAcentral. Lineage: Bacteria; Bacillati; Bacillota; Clostridia; Lachnospirales; Lachnospiraceae.
GGAGAUGUACCCAAGUGGCUGAAGGGUCCGCACUCGAAAUGCGGUAGGCCGGCUUUACCGGCGCGAGAGUUCAAAUCUCUCCAUCUCCG